RNAcentral lists this ribosomal RNA (264 nucleotides) under Bacillus thuringiensis serovar vazensis. RNAcentral describes it as "partial 16S ribosomal RNA". It matches the Rfam family "Bacterial small subunit ribosomal RNA", at positions 1 to 252 of the family's 1533-position model. The record is from RNAcentral. Lineage: Bacteria; Bacillati; Bacillota; Bacilli; Caryophanales; Bacillaceae.
UUUAUUGGAGAGUUUGAUCCUGGCUCAGGAUGAACGCUGGCGGCGUGCCUAAUACAUGCAAGUCGAGCGAAUGGAUUAAGAGCUUGCUCUUAUGAAGUUAGCGGCGGACGGGUGAGUAACACGUGGGUAACCUGCCCAUAAGACUGGGAUAACUCCGGGAAACCGGGGCUAAUACCGGAUAAUAUUUUGAACCGCAUGGUUCGAAAUUGAAAGGCGGCUUCGGCUGUCACUUAUGGAUGGACCCGCGUCGCAUUAGCUAGUUGG